GAACGACGUAUGGUGUCAAGUUUGUCACCUUCACAAAGUUAUUCCGUCACCUAGUGAGGAUAAUAUAAGAUAGAGAGGGUAGAUGAGUCUUAUUAAUAGUGAAGAGUUUACACAAUACCACGUUAGCAUGAAUUGGUUCCAAGUGAAAUAUCCUGUAAUUAAAAUUCUAUAUACGCUUGAUUGGCUAUCAUCAACACUAGUCAACUAAAUUCUAUAUAUGCUUGACUGAUCAUCACCAACCCGUAUGAUUUGAGACAAUUGGGAGUUCGCACAUGCAAUUGUUGUAGCCAUGGGGAAUAAUUGUUCUAUGCUGAGUGGCGUUCUAGAAAUAUGUGCAGAUUGUUCAAGAAGGUGGUGUGGUGAAUUAUUAGUAAUUAUGUGUUGAUGGAUCUAAUUUAAUUUGUGAAUUUUUUUUGGUUUAUGUUGGAUGAAUUAUGCAUUAUAUGUGUAACAUUGUAAGUAUACUCUUGAUGAUGAUACGAACAAAGAGGUUGAUGAAGUUGAUGGAGGCGGCGUUGGAGGGAGGUUCACCGGUGAGCGCUAUGCGUUAGAAGUGGAGCACCUCGAAAUAGUAGUUUAAAUUUUUUUUUUAGGACACUAUUUAAAUUUAAGGUUUUUUUUUUUUUUUUAUAAGUUAUGUAUUUGGCUCAAUUUAGGCUUUAUUUUUGUUUGAGUUUUUUAAUAAUGAAUAGAUUAACUCAAUUAGGCUGUGCAUUUCAUGAGGAGAAAGAAGAAAGCCAAUUUUUUUGCAAAUGACUUGUCCAAAACGACUUCGGUUUGAGCCAAGUCAUUAAAAAAAUUUGAAAACUCACUCACGAGUCACAUGAGAACCCUCCACGGAUAGAGCAAUCACUCAUUCAGCAUUCAGAACCUUCACUUUACCAAUAAUAUCUAAUCGUCUGCCGCUCGGCCCGCUUCUAUUCCUUUUGGCAAUCGAUCAACUCUCUGCUGCACUUUAGUUUCUGUUCACUAUUGCACCGACGGGCGGGGCGACGAGUCGAUGACAUCUCUUGGUGAAAAAUCUACAUUUUUUCUCCGUGUAAAGCUCUGGUCUGGACUCUGGAGGCUAGCCGCUGGGUCCUCUUCUUCUUGGUCGAAAAGGUUUGUAGUUUGUACUCUCUUUGAAUCUGUCCAUUAAAUAUUUUGCCAUCCUGUUAUGAUGCUGCACCUACUGAUGGUGCAUCAAUGAUGCUACACCUACUGAUGUUGCAUAUGAAUAGCAUGCUUUCAGCCUAGUUGCAAUCUUUACUCAAAUUUUAACUGUUCUACAGUUCAAAUGGAUAGAGGCACAUGGAGUUUUAUAGUCUUAUAGACCAGGCAAUUAGCACUUUUUUUUUUUUAUUUGGAGCUUUUAUAUUGGGACCAUCCUAAGUUAAAAUCUUUGAUCCACACUGAUCCUAUAUGACAUUGAUUAGUUUGUGUAUAGUAGAUCAGUUUAAAGUUUUGUUUUUUGCCAAACUUGAAUUGGGUUUAGAAUUAGGGUUUUUAAAAUUUCGUUUUAAAUUUAAGUAGAAAUUAUUAUGCAUGUGUACGGUAAUUUAAAUCUUUGUAAUCUAACAAAUUUUAUUUCCAAUUUUGUAGAUGUAAUAGCUCAUUAGAACCCGGAAGGCGAUGAGUUUUACACCUUGAUCGACGACUACACCUACUACUGCCGCCACUCCUUCGGCAGAGAUGGACCAUAGGUCAAUGAAUCCGGUUGACCCAGUUGGUCCUCCAGUCCUACUGGCACCGGCAUAUUCGACUUCUUCGAUGGUGCUACCUGUUAGCGCCCGACGUGCUCACUGGUGCCCCGCACUCCAUACCAGAUGUCGCCAACGGGAUCCACAACCAAUGCCUCCGGUACACAGCUAGGUAUACUAUCCUAAUUUACUACCUCAUUCCCAUGUUAACUUAGUUUUGUUAUUUUAGGUUUAGUUUGUUAAGUUAUGUCAUUUAAGGAUUAAAAAGUUAUCAUAUAUAUAUAUAUAUUGUUUAUUGUUGUCAUCGUUCCGAACCUAUUAUUAAACUGUUGUGAUCAUUGUGUUGGAUAUGUAUAUUGUUUUUCUUAUUUUUAGGGUUUUGGGAAAUGUUUUCAUUAUAUGGAGGUUAUGCAGAAAUUUUAGUAUGAUUUGUUAUUAAUUUUUCAUUUCUUUGCAGCCAAGAAAAACACCUGGGGACCUUGUCGGCAAUUGAAGGUCACCCGGGUGACCAAUGAUCGUAUCACAAUCGGAUAUGAUGAGCGACAUUGGACAACACCAACGACGGAGUAGCAUAGUGCAUUGGCCCAUGACAUUGGGCACGUCGUGCGGACCUUUUGCCCUAUGCAGUGGAAGUCUUGGAAGGCGAUGCCAGAGAAGGUGAAGAACACGGUGCGCAAUCAUUUGUUAGUAAGUAUUUUUGCCUUUUUAAUGCUUUUCAUCUAAAAUUUAUAUAUUUUAUAUUAUUAAUGUCUUUUAUUAAUAAUACUUUCAUAAUAUUUGUUACAUGUAGACAAACUACAAUUUGGAUGACAUCAACGAGGACAUGUUGACGUACCUCAAUCGGCUAUACUCCCGAACGCUACAAGUUGUGGAAGAGUGACUUGCACCAGUAUUUCGAGAUGUUUAGUGAUCCACAGGUCGCUCUCGAGGAGGGUUGCCUGAACGAGCUUGAAGACCGACAAGAUAAUUGGGAUUGACUUUGCGGUCAUUUUCAGGAGCCGGGCUAUGUGGUGCGUUUUUUAAUUAGGACUUCUUUCAUGUUACUUUUUAAAAUUUUUUACUAAUGUUUAUUAUGAUUUUUUUUAAAUUUUUAUGUUCUUUAAAUAUUACGACUAAUAUGUUUAUUUUGUGUAUAACAGAAGAAGGCGAAGGCGAACAAGGGCAAAUCGGGAGAAGAAGACUCUUUUCCACCAUUUCGGGUUUAAGGCUUUUCUCAUAUAGGAUGUAGGCGUGGCAGAAGGUAUAAUUACAGCUUUUAUUUCCAAUUUAAAAAUGUCGCUAAUAAUGUUUUUUUGUUUGUUUUCGUACUAACAUUUUCCUUAUCUUUUCUAUUUCAGGAGGGUUCAAAUUUCCCGGAGAUCGAUGUCUUUGCUAACGUUUAUGUUCGGCCUGGGAUGAGUUUGACCGAGUUACUUCUUGCAAGUAAUUUCUUAUGCAUUAAAGAUUUAUACUAAUGAUUUCAAAUUGUUUUUCUAUUAAUAAUCCAUGUUUUUUUUCAUAGGCGACUAUGGUGGAGAAGGGUUAGUUGCUUCAGGAGUUCGCCUCCCAGCUUCCCUAGGACACGCCAAUCGAUCUGUGGAUCCCUCUGAAGAUGCGGGGUUUCACAUCCUUACAGAGACGUUCAACCACACUUUUGGUCGGACGCAAGGGACAUAUUGUCGGGGGUUGGGAAAUGCCAGGUGGAGGGAGAGUAGAGCAUCUUCAUCCUUGCAGUCGAAGGGCGAGGUUAUGGCUUUGAACGCAGGAAGUCGCUAGCAUGAGGAGUGAGCUUGCAUCGUACAUGUCUUAAAUGUGAAUGCUUGUACAAGCCCUUAGUUCCUCCGGGAUCCGUCUCCCCAGUUUUUUUUGCACCACGACCGUCAGAGCCCCUCCACACCGUGCAUACACAGCAAUCAGGCCCGUCGACCUUCGACCCCGUCCCUAACCCCACCUUCUUCUAGCAGCAAGAUUACCAAGCACCUCUAAAUGACUUGCGUAUAGACUAUUCCUUAUUUUUUUCAUAGUUUUUGUUUCCUCUUUCUUUCUAAACUUUGUAUUUGUUUGUACAUUUUUUAUUUAUAUUAUAAAAAAUUGUUUUUUAUUCAUUAAUUUGUUUUUUUUUCUUCUGAAUUGUAUGAAAUAUAUAUUUUUAAUAAUAUUCCUUUUAUUCUAUUUAUUAUUAUUAUUUUUUAUUAAAAAUUACACUUGCGCGACGCAUACCUGUCGUCGUGUAAAACCACGCGCGUGUUACAUGUUUCGUCGUGCAAAGAUUUUCGAGACGAAUUUUAGACGUCUCCAGAAAUUCUCAUCACAAAACACUUGUACCCUUUUAUAUCAUGCGACGAAAGCCUUUGUCCGUAUACCUUUCGCGCAACGAAUGUGGACUUCUUCGUCUCACGAGGUCUUUUUUCACGACCUUUGCGCAAGGAUCAUGUUUACCUUUAUCAUGUUCUAUAUAAAAACAACUCUUCAUGCCGUAAGGAUUAUGUUGAUCUUUACCUAGACUACUCCUUUUGCUAUUGGACUUCAAAUAUUUUCUUUCCUACAAACCUCACCUAAUUAAAGGAAUCCCACCUUCCUCUCCUCUCUUGAUUUAUUGUAUUCUCUCAAAUGCUAUUAUAAUUUCAUCUCUCAUAUGCCAAAGGAAAAUCAAGUUGUUCGUACGAUCCAAGUAUCGUGAGUGUACGCUUAAGAUGAUUAUAGGUUGUUGUAUCCUGGAUGGUAGGGCGCCAUAACCUGCUACACCGAGACAUUGUCUUAGAGGGGCAAAAUCUACUCUUAAGGACAGUGACUACACACCUCAACCUAAAAAUCUUGUUCUAAUUGAGGAUCGACGAAGAACGUUCUCUACCUACAGAAGUUAAGUAUUUUAUUUUAUUUGGUUUAUUUUAUUUAAUAAAUUGAGGUGAUAAAAUUGUGAUAUACUAACAUUAUUUUAUGUGAUUUGUUGUAGGAGAAGUAGCAUCCUUAUCAAAAAUAUUUCCAACAAGUUCAAACCCUGUCGGCUCCUUAAUCUAACAUCUAAUCUAACAAAUCUAUCGUUUGACCAAAAAAAAAAUCUCAGGAUUUUUUUUGAAGUUUAAGUUCGCAAAGUUUCUAAUGGAUGGUCACGAUUAUAACAUCUAAAUGGUGUAGAUUGUGCCACAUGUCUUGUUUUAUAAUUGAUUUAAUUUGAUCAUGUGCAACUCAUGUGUGCCGUUGUUAUUGAGGUGUGAUGCCUAGAAACAGCUAUAUCACACGCUCCUCAUGCUUUCUUUUUAACAUAUUUUAGAGAGAGAGAGAGAAUCCAAUGUAGAUAUAUUCUUGAGAGAUUACAUUGGUGACCAUUCUUUCUUCCAUUUCUCUACAAUUCGACGAUCACAUUCUCAGUGAUUUCAUGAGUUAAAUCCUAUUGGAAAUCGAGUUCAUCACCCUAAACACACUAACAUGGCCUUAGAGAGCUAGGUUCGAAUUGAAUGAGGGGCAUGAUGAUCUGAGAAAUGUUCUUUGAGCUUUCAACCAAGAGCUCAAUAAAAUAAAUUGAAGAACAAAAUGUCUGGAUCUGGAGCUGAUAUUCAAGCUCUGAUUUUCAAUAUUGUCAACUAUGAAUUUUUGUGUGUCAAAUGAUGACUAUCUUCAAGUCUCACAAUCUCUUGGGUUGUGCUGAAAAUGGCUAUGAACUUCCCUAAGAUGAGAAGCAAAUGGUUGAGAAGUAGCUGAUUGUUGCUCAGGAUCUUAUUUCCAGAGAUGCAAAAGCCCUAAGGUUAAUUCAAAGUUCAAAAGUACAGGAGAGUGACGGAAUUUUUUUUUGAAUUCAGGAUUGCGAGGAUUGCAAUCAAAGACAUUUAACAAAGCUUUGGGAUGUUGAAGCGAAGCAGGAAUACAAAGGCGAUUAUCAGGUCAUGGCAAUGAAAUUACAAGGUAUCCGUCUUGAUUUUGAGAAUGCUAGAAUGAGUAAUGGUGGUGAAUCUCUAUUUGAUUAUUGGACUAGAUAGUUUGCUUUGCUUUGGUGAGUCAAAUGAAAAUGCACGGAGAGGAUUUGUUAAAUAAAAUUAUGGUGGUAGAGAAGCUGUACAUUAGCCUCACUCAUACUUAGGUUACUAUUGUAUCUUUUAUUGAGGGUACAAAGCAAAUCAGUGAGAUUGAUCCAACUGAGUCUACAACAACACCCAAAGGUUUUGAGCAAAGAUGAAUGAGACAUGCUGAAGAUGGAGAGGUGAAUGAAAGAGCAUUUAGUAGCCUAAGUAUUCAACCAAAACAGAACUCACAAGUUGGUGGUUAUAAAGGCAAUAAGCCUUGGAAGAAUAAGUAGUAGAAACACUAUGUGAAACAAAAUGAGAAGCCAAAUGUGAUUGUAAAGAACUAUGGUAGUAAAGGAGAUUGCAAGAUUUGUGCAAAUUUACAUUUUGGUGAAUGCUGAUUUAAAUCCAAAGUGUCACAAAUGUGAUACGUUUGGGCAUAUUGCCAAAGAUUGUAGGAGUAAAAUGGUCAAACAGGUUCAUUAUGUCAAGGAGGGGGGAAAGGCACUAGUAUGUUCUUUGCUUGCGAUUCCGCAACAACUGUCAAGAAUGAACAUGUCUGGUAUAUAGAUAAUGAUGGAUACAACAAUCACAUGACUUUACAUGAGUCAAUGUUGAUUGAUGAAGACAAAAAUGUGACUACAUGACUUUUUUUUUUUUAAACAACCGAUAUUAUCUAUACACUAAGGGGGAUGAGGUGUGCUUAUCUUCACAAUGGGCUAACAAUAAUGAGGUUCAAAUUCACUUUUGGCGAGAAUCAAAUCUAAGACCUCUCACUGACAAGCAAGGUUCUAAAAAACGCUAGGCUUUAGUCGGGUGUCGGGCUGGAGCCUAGCGCCUAGGCGGCUAGGCGGUUUAGGUGCCUAGUGUCACGGGAUGACUCUUUAAGCCUUCCGCCCGUGCGGCACUUAGACUUGAAUACCUCGAUGAACAAGCUAAGUAAGCCUUCGAAGCCUCGCUUCCCCGAAUCGAAUCACAAAGAAAGCUAAGAUAGCUUGGAGAAUGCUAAAAUCACUUAGAAGAUGGGAGAAAGGAAGCUUUGUAUUGAAACUUAUGAGAACUUUACAAUUGCUUACAAUUGUUGGAUGGAUUGGCCAAAUGGCCUUGCCUUCUAUUUAUAGGCCUAAGUUACCUCCUCAAUGGAGGGUUCUAGAAUUCCCUACUUACAUCCAAAAAUAUCUAGCAUAGUUCUAGAUACAACUUGCCUAAUCUAGAUUGUUCUAGGUGAGGCUUAAAUUUGUACACUUGUGUGGAAUGUUCCGGAAUGCCCUAGAUUAUCUUGAACGCUCCGUCAUGUUCUUGAUUUUUCCGGGAUGUUCCAGAAGCUUCCAUGAAGACAAGGCUUUAUGGGCUUUAGAUAUAUGAUGUCUUGGGCGUUUUCUUUGUUUUUAACAUACGGCUCGUGACAUCCUCCCCCACUUAAGCCGUAGACGUCCUCGUCGACUCUUGCCUCUCGAAUGUCUCAAUCAGGUCCUUAUAUUGCCAUAAGGACGUCUCCUUCUCCCAUGUUGCUUCGGAGUAUGGUAGCCCCUUCCAUUUGACAAAGUACUCCACAUGCUUUGGUUGUCUUGGUCGCACCACGACACGCUUGGAUUCAAUGCUCUCCACUUCUUUGUCAAAUGCCUCUGUCAUCAAAGGAGGUGCUCGGUGAGACUCACCUCAGCUUGGUUCCUCAUCGUCCGCAUGAUAAGGCUUCAAGUUGCUCACAUAGAACACCGGGUGAAACUUGAGGCGGGGUAGGAGUUCCACAACAUAAGCGGCUUUGCCAACCUUCUUGAUGAUAGGAAAUGGUCCCUCAUAUUUCCGCAACAAGCUCUUGUGCAAGCCACGAGUACUCUUGUACUGAGACGCAUUGAGCUUCACAAAGACUUGGUCGCCAGUUUGGAACUCCACAUUCCUUCGCUUACGAUCCGCCCAUUUCUUCAUCUUCUUUGAAGCCUUCUCCAAGUGAGCUCGAGCAAGUUCGUGGGCUAAUUGCCACUCCUUAGCGGUUUUAAAAGUUGCUGGACUAUUCCCCGUGUAGCCAGUCACGACCGUGUUCGGGGUCAAGGGUUGUUGCCCUAUAGCCAACGCGAACGGACUUUUCCCCGUCGACUCCAAACGUUGCAAGUUAUAAGAAAAUUGGGCAACAUCAAGUAACUUAGCCCAAUAUCGUUGAUUGGCACUAACAUAGUGCCGCAAAUAAGUCUCUAACAAUGCAUUAACCCGCUCCGUUUGUCCAUUAGUUUGGGGAUGAAAAGCCGUGGAGAAGUCUAACUUUGAGCCAAGUAGCUUGAAGAGCUCCUUCCAAAAUCUACCCGUGACGCGAGCAUCUCGAUCAUUGACUAUGCUCCUCGGAACACCCCAAUACUUCACCACGUGCUUUAGAAACAAGCGUGCAGCUACUUCGGCUGUGCACUCCACAGGUGCGGGUAUGAAAGUGGCAUACUUGGUGAAUCUAUCGACCACGACGAAGAUAGAUCCACAUUCAUCAGACUUGGGCAAAUGUGUGAUGAAAUCCAUUGUUAAACACUCCCAUGGUCUUGAUGGGGUGGGAAGUGGUUCCAACAGUCCUCCCGGUUGCCUUUGUUCCACUUUGUCUUGUUGGCACACAAGACAAGUCUUCACGUAUGAAUCUACAUCAUCCCGCAUUUGUGGCCAAUAAUAACCAUCGCUCACCAAAGCCAACGUGCGGUGAGUGCCAGGAUGUCCUGCCCACAUUGAGUCAUGGCACUCCUUAAGGAUUUCUUUCCUCAAGCUUCCCCACUUUGGGAUGUAGAUCCGCUUGCCCUUGGUGUAUAGCAAGCUGUCCUCAAGCCAAAACCUUCUUGUCUUCCCAUCCUUGACAAACUCCACAAUGUUCUUGGCUUGGACGUCAUGUGAUAAACCUUCUCGGACACGGCCCAAGAGAUGGCUUGCGGCUUGAGUACCGUAACCAUUAGCUCUACUCAUCUACUUAGAGCAUCGACCACCACAUUCUCCUUUCCUUGCUUGUACUCUAGCUUGUAAUCAAACUCCGCUAAGAACUCUUGCCACCUUGCUUGCUUAGGUGUGAGCUUUUGUUGGGUUUGAAGGUAGCUAGUGGCAACGUUGUCCGUCUUGAUGAUGAAUGGGGUACCAAGCAAGUAAUGCCUCCAAACUCUAAGGCAAUGGACGAUGGCGGUCAUCUCCUUUUCAUGGGUCAUGUACCUCUUCUCGGCAUUGUUUAGCUUGCGACUUUCAUAGGCUAUCGGAUGUCCCUCUUGCAUCAACACUCCUCUUAUGGCAAAGUCGGAAGCAUCAGUGUGCAACUCGAAUGGCUUGCUAAGGUCGGGCAACCUUAGUACAGGCUCCUCCAUUAGGGCCUACUUCAACCUCUCAAAGGACUCUUGACACCGGUCCGUCCAUUCCCAUGCCUUGUUCUUCUUAAGAAGGUCUGUUAAGGGUGCCGCUAUGGCUGAGUACCCUUUAAUGAAUAUCCGAUAGUAGUUGGCUAGCCCCAGAAAGGAUCGUAGUGUUGGGACCUUGGUCGGCGGUUCCCACUCUUGAAUGGCCCUGAUCUUGCCCUUUUCCAUCAUAAAGCUUGCCCUCCUUUAUCUUGUGGCCAAGAAAUUCUACUUCUUUUGUGGCAAAUGGAGCAUUUCUCCUUCUUGACAUAGAGUUCAUGCUCCUGAAGGGUCUUGAACACUAUGCACAAGUGCUCGACGUGUUCCUCCAAUGUCUUGCUAUAGACAACGAUAUCAUCAAUGUAAACCACGACAAACUUGUCAAGAUAAGGAUAGAAUACCUUGUUCAUCAAUGUGCAGAAUGUUGCGGGGGCAUUGGUCAGACUAAAUGGCAUGACUUUAUACUCGAACGAUCUAUAUCUGGUCACCAUCGCCGUCUUCGAUUCGUCUCCAGGGGCUAUCCUCACUUGGUAGUAUCCCGAUCGAAGAUCUAACUUUGUGAAGUACCUUGCUUGACCAAGUUGAUCGAAUAAGUCGGCGAUUAACGGAAGUGGGUACUUGUUCUUGAUGGUAAUCUUGUUCAAUGCUCUAUAGUCGAUGCACAACCUUAGGCUACCUUCUUUCUUGCGUUGGAACAAGACGGGUGCACCAUAUGGGGACUUGGAGGGUUGGAUGUAGGCAGCAUCAAGUAGCUCGUUGAGUUGCUUUCUCAAUUCCUCCAACUCGGGUGGCGACAUCCUAUAAGGUGAUUUGGAGGGAGGCUUAGCACCAGGCUCCAACUCAAUCGCAUGGUCGACCUCUCUCCUUGGUGGCAACUUCUUUGGUAGUUCCUUAGGCAUCACGUCCACAAACUCCACAAGGACGGCUUCCACUUGUUUCGGCAAAGGCCCGUGCUUCUCCUCUCCUUCAUUCAACAUUAGGGUUGCAAGAAAUGUGGCCUCGCCUUUCUUCCAAGACUUGGAAAAUUGAAUUGCCGACAAGUGUUGCGUACACUUCUUGGCUUGCCUUUCCAAUGGCACCAGGCAAGGUUGUCUUCCGUCGUCUAGGAUACAGAAGAUAUUGUAGAAGGGAAUGGGAAAGGCUCGUACCUUGUCCAUGAACUCUAACCCAAUGACUACGCCAUAGUCGUCCAUCUUGACUACGGUGAAGUCGAUCUUUCCCUUCCAUGUGCCAAUGUCUACUUGUACAUUGCGCGCAACUCCAACAAUGGGGGUGGCAGUGGAAUUUACCGUCUUCACGCUACCAGGCUCCUUUGUGACUCGGAGGCCAAGCCUUGUGGCUUCCUCCGACGUCAUGAAGUUGUGGGUUGCUCCCGUGUCCACCAACACACGCGUCGUCUUGUCACCAGUCUUGACGUCGACGAACAAUGAUCCUCCCUCAACUUGAGCCUUAGGUUGUGGGAGGGUUGUUUGGAUGGCAUUCAGUAGACGGAUGCAUCCCAUCCUUGUAUCGUUACUCUCCUCGGCCUUGUCCUCCUUGAAAGCCAUGACCUUAAGGGCCUUCUUUUGUGGGCAAUCUCGCAUCAUGUGAGGGCCGUCACAUAGGUAACAAGUGGGUUGCCAAGACUUACCCUUGCUUUUGUCAUGCUUAUCAGUUUUCUUCUCCUUCGGUUUGCUUGUCUCGGUCUUAUCUUUCGGCUUAUGUUCUCCCCCAUUUCUCUCAUGGUUACCCCUCUUCCCCGUGGACUUGGAAUCACCUUGGUGGCUUGAUUUAAACUCGAUCAAGGAUUCGGCGGCGGUAAUGGCAUCAGACAAUGUUUGCACGUGUCUCCUUUGUAGUUCGAGUUUUGCCCAAUUUUGCAGUCCACUCAUGAAGUACAUGAGCUUGUCUUCCUCUAACAUGUUGGGCACCUCGAAUAACAAACUCACGAAGGUGUUGACAUAAUCUUUGACGCUCCCCGUUUGCUUGAGCCACCUUAGUUUCUCCUUGGCUUCGUACUUGGCAUUUUGGGGAUAGAAGUGCAACAUAAGAUCUUUCUUAAAUUCAUCCCAAGUGGUGAGAGAGAACAUACCUUGCUCAAUCUCCAUGCUCCGACGACGCCACCACAUAAGGGCAUUGUCAGCUAAGAACAUGGUUGCUGUUGAGAUUUUGGACUCGUCAUCUUCAAGCUUCAGGUACUUGAAGUAUCGCUCCACGUUCCACACGAAUGUGUCGAGCUCCUUUGCUUCCCUCUUCCCAUUAUAGGAUUUAGGUUUAAAGGAGUCGAUUACCUUGGAGUCCAACGACUUGAUUUCCCUCGGCCCUUGCACGAAUUGCUUCACGACUGCUUCUUUACAAAACGCCACAUCUCCCUGAAAUUCCCUUGUGUCCUUUAUCUCUUCUUGAAGCGCCACAAACCUUGCCUCUAUGUUGUCAAGGUGAACCUGGACUUCCCUCCGCAUCUUGUCUGCCAUGGUGUUGAGAGCGCCAAGGAGCUCAUCUCGUAGCCCUUCCACCAAGCCACGCAGUUCAUCCUUACCAUUGUUCACUAUGGUUUGGAUUUCCUCCUUGUCAACAACGUCCUCAUCAAGUCGAGUAUCGAACUCGAGUAUGGUUCGUUCCACCUUCUCGAGUCGCUCUUCCAUGGUCUCCAUCGAUGCUUGCAAGUCCUUUAACUUUGGCUUGCUCUUGGCAACGUCUUGGACCUCGGCAGUACGCUCCCUUAGCUCAGAGACUCCGGACAUCAUCUCUCCACUUGCCAUAUCCUACUUUCCUUCAAGUGAUUCACGAACUAGGCUCUGAUACCAGCUGUCACGGGAUGACUCUUUAAGCCUUCCGCCCGUGCGGCACUUAGACUUGAAUACCUCGAUGAACAAGCUAAGUAAGCCUUCGAAGCCUCGCUUCCCCGGAUCAAAUCACAAAGAAAGCUAAGAUAGCUUGGAGAAUGCUAAAAUCACUUAGAAGAUGGGAGAAGGGAAGCUUUGUAUUGAAACUUAGGAGAACUUUACAAUUGCUUACAAUUGUUGGAUGGAUUGGCCAAAUGGCCUUGCCUCCUAUUUAUAAGCCUAAGUUACCUCCUCAAUGGAGGGUUCUAGAAUUCCCUACUUACAUCCAAAAAUAUCUAGCAUAGUUCUAGAUACAACUUGCCUAAUCUAGAUUGUUCUAGGUGAGGCUUAAAUUUGUACACUUGUGUGGAAUGUUCCGGAAUGCCCUAGAUUAUCUUGAACGCUCCAUCAUGUUCUUGAUUUUUCCGGGAUGUUCCAGAAGCUUCCAUGAAGACAAGGCUUUAUGGGCUUUAGAUAUAUGAUGUCUUGGGCGUUUUCUUUGUUUUUAACAUACGGCUCGUGACACUAGGCAGACUAGGUGGAUUUAAGUAAAUCUAUUAUGUUUCGUGUAAAUAAGUGUCCCAUUUGCACUUAAAAUAUAUAUAUAAUUUCAUCAUAAACUACAAAAUAGAAUGACAUAUAAUUAUGAAGUAUUGGAACAUAAUGAAAACAUGCGGAACAAGCAUGUAAUGUGUGUUCAUUUAACUAUUCAACAAGUCUCUUCCAAUUAAUUGAAAAAAGUAAAAUUGAAAUUGAAAGUUAUCUAUUUUCUGUUUAAGUAGUCGCAACCUAAGCGGGUGCCUAGGCAAGUUUGGACGGGUUAGGCAGGUGCCUAGGUAGUCUAGGUGGGUGCCUCAUCAGGUCUAGACACCCUUUCUUAAUUUUCAAAUGCCUAGGCAUUAAUCGGGGAGGCGGCUAGCAGCCUAGUGCCUAGGCAGGCGGGGAUUUUAAGAAUAGUGCUUAAAAGUAAAGAGAAAUGCCACUAGACUGUAGUACUAAGUGGCACUACAUGGCUUAAGAUGGGAAACAUACAGAUAUUACAAGCUGUUGCAAAAGGAACCUUGGUGAUUGAAACCAAAAAUAGUACAAGGCAUAUCAAAGAGGUUAUGCUUGUUCCUGAUUUAGAUAAAACUUGCUAAGUGUAGGCCAAAUGUUAGAGCAUGAAUAUUUCUUAUUGUUUAGAGAUGAUAAAGUUGAAAUAUUUAAAGAUAGAAGCCUUGAAAGACAUGUGGUCGUAGUACAAAUGACAGGAAACAUAUGUUUUCCUCUCAUCAUGAAGGAUAUAAUGCCAUCUGCAUUGAAAGCAAUAGCUGAAGAAGACUCUUGAGAGUGGCACAAAAGAUUUGGUCACUUGAAUUUUCAGAGUUUGCAUAUGUUGGCUGAUAAGGAAAUGGUAUUAUGCCUGUCUAAAUUGAAGAAAUCAAAUGUUGUCUAUGAAUGAUGCAUUGUAGGAAAACAUCACUGAGAGGCAUUCAGUAAGGAGAUGACUUGGAAAGCAAAUAAGCCAUUGGAGUUGAUACACUCUGAUGUAUGUAGUCCUAUGCAGGUCGCUACACUUGGUGGAAAUAGACACUUUCUGAUAUUUAUUGAUGACCAUACCACAAUGUGCUGACUAUAUUUCUUGAAGCCUAAGUCAGGCGUAUUAUGUGUAUUUAAAAGCUUUAAAGCUAUGGUUCAGCUUGAAAGUGAUUUUCAAAUUCAAAAAUCAAGACGUGACUGAGGAGGAGAAUAUACUUCUCUAGAGUUUCAAAGCUUCUGUGAUGAUCUAGGCCUUGAAAGGCAACUGACAGUGGCUUAUUCGCCAAAACAAAAUGGUGUUGCUGAGAGGAAGAACAUGACCUUUAUUGAAAUAGCUAAAGGCAUGUUACUUGAUAAGAAUCUACCUUAUGAUUUUUGGGGAAAAGCUUCUAACACUGCAAUAUAUCUUCUAAAUAGAUGUCAACUAAAGCUUUGCAGAACAAGAAUCCAUUUGAUGCAUUUAGUGGUAGAAAGCCAAGAAUAAAACAUCUCAGAGUGUUUGGCUGCAUUUGUUACAAUCAUGUUCCUGGACAACUGAGAUAAAACUGGAUAAAACUUUUGUGAAAGAGAUCUCUGUUGGUUAUGCGAAGUUGUGAAGGGUUACAAAGUUUGUAACUUAGCAAUCAAGAAGGUUUUUGUGUCAAACAAUGUUAUAUUUGAUGGAGAAGGUGUAUGGGACUAGAAAGCUGAAAAUGCAAUUGCCAUGACAUUUUCAGUGAAUUUGAACCUGAUUGAGAAGGAACAAAAAUAAUCCCAUGAACAAGGUGUAUGGCUGGUCACCCUCCUAUAAAUACCUCACGUAUCCCACUAAAAUGCUAAGCCAUUUGCUACCCAAAAACUCCCAAAACUGAAUAACAACACAUACAAUAACCGAAAUCCGGAGUGAGUAUGCUAGCAAUAUAGUUUUCCUGCUACUAAUUUCUAGAAAGGCUUAGGACUAUAAAUUCGUAUUACCUCUUUGAAACACAUGAAUUGAAAGUAACAUCCUACAUGUCACAGUUAGGUGUGCUCUAAUUUGUGGAGUUUAAAAAAGGGAAACGAGUGAAGACUGAAGAGGUAUAAUUUAUUUAUUUUUAAUUAAACACCUAAAUGGCGUUGUUUUGUUGGUUUUCCAGGGAAUAAAAAAGAAACGUCGAGCGCAACAGCAACAAAGUUAGGUGCUAGUUGGACACCUAAUUGGGCACUAGCGCCUAGGUGAGGCAUAGGCAGACUAGACAGAUUUAAGUAAAUUAUUAUAUAUUAUAUAAAUAAGUGUCUAAUUACAAUGAAAAAAUUAUACUUAAAUUAGGAGUUUGGGUUUAUUUAGCAUACAACAUAUAAAAGUAUUAGAUUUUUUGCUUUAAUUAGUGUCUUAGUAAUUUGAUGGUAUGAGAUGAAAAUUCAAGUGAUUACUAGUCUGUAGUGCUUUAAGAAAUAUUUUUGAGAAGUCUUAUGAAAAUUAUUAUAAAUUUUAAAAGAAUUAAUGGUGUUAAACAUGUGAAUAAGGGAUAAUUUGCUAUUGUUGUGCUUUGAAAAAAAAAUGCUUCUGCUGUGUUUUGAGAAUAAAUAACUGUAAGAUAAAGUGUUGAGUGCUUGCUUUACCUUUUUGAUAAAAGUGCUUUUAAAAAAUAAAAAUAAUAUCUUAAAUGACUAAACAUGAUAUGAAUAUGUUAAAUGACUAAACAUGAUAUGAUAUUUAAUGUGAGAUAAUAAUUGUCAAAGAGAAUUAUGUAAGGACAAUAAUUGUAAUUUUUUAAAAUAUAUGGGGAUGCACUUGUUAUUUGAAAACUUUAUUAAAUAGACACCGAUUACUAUAUUUUGAAAUAAAAAGGCAUUGCUUUUAGAAACAUGGUAGACUUUUCCUUUCUAUACUUUUUUACAAUCAUUGCCAACAGAUAUUUUAUAAAAAAAAUAUUUCUUUUUUGUUUUGUCAAACACAUUUAAUAUUUUAAAUUUUUUAAUAAGCUGUAUUUAAAAAAAAAAAAAACAUCACAAUUUUUUUGUGAUGUAGACAUGCAAGUGGUAAUUGAUGUAAUAUAUUUGGUGUAGACAUGCAAGUGCUAAAAAGCGUAGGCUGAGUGAUGUAGACAUGCUAGUGGUUGUAAUAUUUAUGGCGCCACACUUCCCGAUUUUUUUGUCGGCAUAUAUAUAUAUAUAUAUAUAUAUAUAUAUAUAUAUAUAUAUAUAUAUCACCUCCCAAUUCAUAAGGAGCCCUUUAGUGAAUAGUAUUGAAGGUGGCAGAAGCUCAUAGGAUGACAACUAAAGAAGACAAAAAAUGUUACUUUGUCACGAGGGAGAGAGAAAAUGAGUCUCUCUGCAUCAUCUUCUUCGUUGGGACAUGGAGGCUCCUCUUCCUUCAGCAAACCAAACCUCAUUUCCGAUAGAACCAGAGGUGUGGCAGCACAGAAAAUCAGACUCCUCGGCUUCUUUUCCGGCUAGAGGAGGGGCGGCCGUCCUCUUAGCGCCAUAAUAGGUUCGCUACGAUGCAUGGACACGGACACAGAUGCGAGGAUACGACACGAUACGACACGGGGAUACGUCAAAUUUCUAUAACCGAGAACACGAUACGUCAGGAAUACGACAAUUAAAAAAUAUAAUAAAUAAAUAUAUCUAAAACAUUAUAAAAUAAGCAUUCAAAUAUAUAUGAGACAUUUAUGUUAAGAGAUAAAAAACACAUCAUGAAAGCAUAUACAUAAACUUAUUAUAAACUAAACAUUGAUACCACUACACAAUAAUAUAUUAUAAUAUGUAAAAUACAAUAAUAUUAUAAUAAUACAAAAAGUUAAAAAGAGAAAAGCAACAGGCUUCAUCAGAUUCGAAGAUUCAUCAAAUUCGAAUGGACUAUGGGAUGGGUAGUGGUAUGAGUAUUAUAAUAUAUUAUUGUGGGUAUGGGUAGGCCUGGCAAACGGGUCGUGUCAGUCGUGUUCGUGUAACACCUGUUAUCUUAACGGGUCGUGUCGUGUCACACCUGUUAUCUUAACGGACGGGUCCUUAAUAGGUCGGGUCACUUUACCCAACGGGUAAAGUGACCCGACCCGUUAUGACCCGUUAAGAAAACUAUUUUUUUUUCCUUAAAUUUGCACAUACCACACAUUGUCACAUAAAUAUUACUUCGAAACAUUAAAACACAUUUGUCGCUUAAAUACUACAUCUACACUUGAAAAUAAGAGCCUCAUAAAAAAUACAUCCAUACACUACUAAUCUAUUACAAAUAUUAAAUGUGCAAGGAUAUGCAAAAUGAAAGCGUUUUUGUUUUCAAGGUUGUAAAGUUUUUCUCAAAAGUUUAAACAUUGCCAAUGAAACUCAAAGCUUAAUGAAAGUGACCCACUAGUGUGUUUAUUCGUACUUUCAUUAAGUAUAACAUAAGAUUUUGUGGUAUCCACUAGUGUAAAUAUUUUAAAUUGAAGAUCGAAUUCAAUCACUGUAUUCGUAUAGGGUAAAGGAGUGUAGUUGUAAAAAAUCAUCAAAAUCGGAGUUAAAAUAACCAUUAAAUUGUGAUUUUUCGUUUAUAACCUUUGAAAAGUUUUGUCCCGUUACUUAAUCUUUGAAUGUUUGUUUUUUGCAAUUUUUGGCGUAUGCGAUCUCGAACCAUAUACAAACAAGUAUGAUGGUUAGAUCGUUGAAACUAGUUUCGUAGAAUGCGUAUCUCAUCAAAACAAUAGAUUAACUAACACUUAAAAGUUUAUUCUUACUUUCAUUAAGUAUAACAUAAGAUUUUGUGAUAUCCACUAGUGUAAAUAUUUUAAAUUGAAGAUCGAAUUCAUUCAUUGUAUUCAUAUAGGGUCAAGGACUUUUAAUUUUUAGAACAUCAUUCAAUCAGACUUUUAAUUUGAUUUUACUGAUCAUGUAUAUAUAGGAUUAAAGCCAUUUGUGACACUCUUUCAUGGGGAUGUUCCCCAAGCUUUAGAAGAUGAAUAUGGUGGUUUCUUAAGCCCUCGUAUUGUGUAAGUGAACAAAAUUUAUUCUCUCAGUGAUAAUUUGAUAAAAUGCAUACUGAUAUUCGUAACAUAAAUGUGUAUCUACAGCGAUCAUUUUAAAGACUAUGCGGAACUUUGUUAUAAGGAAUUUGGUGAUCGAGUCAAGCACUGGUUCACGGAAAAUGAGCCAUAUACUUUUAGUUACAUGGGUUAUGCUGUUGGUACUCAAGUACCGGGACGCUGCUCUUCUUGGCAAAACCUAAACUGCACCGGUGGAGAUUCAGCCAUUGAACCAUACUUGGUGGCACACCACCUUCUUCUUGCUCAUGGAGCAGCUGUAGAAUUGUACAAGAAUAGAUAUCAGGUUCAAUAACUUUUGUUCUUUUUUUUUGGGGUCAGAUUAUUGGCUCCUAAUUGAGAAUUCUAUAUGAAUCAUUAUUAUUGAGUUGUAAUACAAGAGGGAAUACUCUCUGUAGUGAGAUAAUCUAAAGGUUGUAUCUUUUUCCAUAGCUCCUAUUUGUUCAACCAAAAUUCGUAUUUUUGUGUAGGCAACUCAAAAAGGCCUGAUAGGGAUAACAUUGGUGUCAGACUGGUUUGAGCCUGCUUCGGAUUCAAAGCAAGAUAAAGAUGCUGCCUUACGAUCUUUGGAUUUUAUGUUUGGAUGGCAAGUGUCUUAUUAAAUUAUAUAUCAACCCAAUUACAUGUUUACUUAUGAAUUGAAACAUUGAUACUACCUAGCUAGCAGUACUCUUUAUAUAUAAUAAUAUAAUUAGGCUAAUAUCCGGAAUUGUCAUGUUUUGUAGGUUUUUGGACCCAUUAACAAGUGGUGACUAUCCACACACCAUGCGAUCAAUUGUUGGGAAAAGAUUGCCCAAAUUCACAAAAGAACAAUCCAAGUUGCUAAACGGAUCAUUUGAUUUUCUUGGAAUAAAUUAUUAUACUGCUAGAUACGCAAGUAGUGCACCCAACAACAAUUCACUACCGGCAAGCUACGUAACAGAUUCUCGAGCUGAUCUUACAAGUGAGUGCAAAAGGAAACUUAGUUUGAAUAGCUUAAGUUCUUUGUACUUCUUUGCCUAGUUUAACUUCUUAAUUACUUUAAUUAUAUUCUAAUAUUUACACCAAUUGUAUUCUAAUGUUUGUAAAUAUUGUGGCAGCUGAGCUUAAUGGAGCACUCAUUGGUCCACAGGUAAAUAUCAAAUUUAUCAUUUUGAGGUAUUUGCAUUUGGAGGAGUAGUUUUUUUUUCCCCCCAAUAUUUAUGUAUUAUCUUCAAAUGGUGUUGCAGGCUGCUUCAGAUUGGUUAUAUGUAUAUCCAAAAGGAAUUCACGAUCUUGUGCUUUACACAAAGGAAAAAUAUAAUGAUCCACUAAUUUAUAUUACUGAGAAUGGUAUGUAAUACAAACUUUUAAGCCUUGAUUAAUUGCAAAAGUUUCACAUAUUUAUAGUGGUGUAAAAUGAAACUACACGUUUUCUUUUAGUUUUAGAGGAAGAAACUAAAUUUAAUUUUUGUGUGUAAUAAUAUGUACAUAGGUGUAUCAGAGUUGAAUAAUCCAGAACUAUCACUUGAAGAGGCCCUUCAUGAUACCAGUAGAAUUGACUACUACUAUCGUCACCUGUGUUACCUUCAAGCGGCGAUCAAGUAAGUAGUUAUUAACAAAAUGAUUAAGGCUAUAUACUGCCUAGCCUUCUUAUGUUAUGGUUAUUUAAUCAUUAUAUUGACCUAACCAAUUUGUACAUUUGUGUGUGUGUGUGCAGAAAUGGCGCGAAAGUGAAGGGAUACUUUGCAUGGACAUUGUUAGACGACUUUGAAUGGACUGCCGGAUACACUGUCCGAUUUGGUUUAAACUACGUGGAUUAUAAAGAUGGCCUGAAAAGAUACCCAAAACUCUCAGCACACUGGUUCAAAAAUUUUCUUAAGAAGAAUAAAUUCAAAGAAAGCUACAGUUCAUUAUAAACAUUUAAGUGGAUAAUUUUUUUAUUUUUUUAUGUAUUUAUAUUUCAAUUCCUUAUGCAUUUGUAUUUCCUUGCAAUAAUGUAAACAUUCUUUGAGAUUCAAUAAUUCAAUAAAAAGCUAUAAGUGCUGUGAAUGCUACAAUAAAACCUCUCUCUAUAAACGAAUAACUUAUUUGUAGUCAUAAAAAGUUUUAGUCCAUGUUUGGGUUUAGGAAUAAAUUUCACAUUGUAAUAAGUUAUCAUUUUAAUAGGUCCUGUUGUAAGGAAACUCAGUUCGACAUGGUAGUAAUUGUUAAUAGGGAACUUUAACGAAAAACUCCUGGUACUGUUCACUUUAACAAAAAACCACAAUUUUACACUAAAAAGUCAAUCCUGGUACUAUUCACUUUACCUUUUAUUUUGUCGUUAUCGUUAAAACUCAAAGUUUUUAAGCAAUUUUUUAUUAGUUUUCCUUUGUUAAUAAGGACAAUAAUAAGCUACACCACAAAUAAAAUUUUAAGAUGGAAUAAUUUUAUUUUAUUUAUUUAUUAUUUUUUUUGGAGAUAAUACUACAGCUUUGAGCUUGCAGGUACGUAUGUAAAACCUUGUCAAUAUCUUCUUGUUGAAGUCAAAAUAUUUCUAACUCCUCAUGAGAAUCAUCUUUCCCUUCUUUCCUAAUUGUAUUAACGAUUAUUUUUUCAAUUAAAGCGUGAUCAACUUUUUACACAACUGAACACAAAUGUUUUCAGUUAGCUGACUUUGCAUAUGACUUUGGGUUACAUGACAAUUUUGAUAGAAGAAAAGAAAAAGUGUACGCUUGAAUUGGUCGAGGAUUGUAUUGUACAUAUUUUUAAAACUUUUGCUAUGUAUUAUAAACACCUAUUUUUAAUUCUUUGUUGAACAUAAGGAUUCUAAUUGAUUUUAAUAUAUUCCACCUGUUUAACACAAUUUUAAAAACUGAUGGCACACGCGGGCUCAAUUGCUUGUAAGAGACUAUUUACAAAUAAUGGUGAUGCACAAAAUAAGUGAGACUAUGGAACGACGUAUGGUGUCAAGUUUGUUACCUUCACAAAGUUAUUUCCGUCACCUAGUGAGGAUAAUAUGUAAAGAUAUAGAGGGUAGAUGAGUUCUUAUUAAUAGUGAAGAGUUUACACAAUACACACGUUCAAGCAUGAAAUUGGUUCCAAGUGAAAUAUCCUGUAAUUAAAAUUCUAUAUACGCUUGACUGGCUAGUCAUCAACACUUGUCAACUAAAAUUCUAUAUAUGCUUGACUGGCUAUCCAUCACCAACCCCGUAUGAUUUGAGACAACUUGUGGAGUUCGCACAUGCAAUUGUUGUAGGCAUGGGGAAUAAUUGUUCUACUGCUGAGUGGCGUUCUAGGAAAUAUGUGCACGAUUGUAUCAAGAAGGUGGUGAUGGAUGAAUUAUUAGUAAUUAUGCUGUUGAUGGAUCAAUAAUUAAUUUUGUGAAUUUUUUUUUGUUAUAUGUUGGAAUGAAUUAUUUGCAUAUAUGUGUAACAUUGUAAGUAUACUCUUGAUGAUGAUACGAACAAAGAGUUGAUGAAGUUGAUGGAGGCGGCGUUGGAGGGAGGUUACAACCGGUGGCGCUAUGACGUUAAGCAGAGUGGAGCACCAUCGAAAUAGUAGUUUUAAAUUUUUGUUUUUGAGGACACUAUUUAAAUUUAAGGUUUUUUUU
RNAcentral lists this long non-coding RNA (20846 nucleotides) under Malus domestica (apple). RNAcentral describes it as "long non-coding RNA (MDOM_LNC020548)". Lineage: Eukaryota; Viridiplantae; Streptophyta; Magnoliopsida; Rosales; Rosaceae. The record is from RNAcentral.